UAGGAAUAUACCUUGAAGUGGGGGAUAACUUGGGGAAACUCAAGCUAAUACCGCAUAAGCUCUACGGAGGAAAGCUAGGGACCGCAAGGCCUGGCGCUUUAAGAAUAGCCUGCGUCCGAUUAGCUAGUUGGUAGGGUAAAGGCCUACCAAGGCGACGAUCGGUAGCUGGUCUGAGAGGAUGAUCAGCCACACUGGGACUGAGACACGGCCCAGACUCCUACGGGAGGCAG
RNAcentral lists this ribosomal RNA (230 nucleotides) under uncultured bacterium. Its description in RNAcentral is "partial 16S ribosomal RNA". It matches the Rfam family "Bacterial small subunit ribosomal RNA", at positions 118 to 351 of the family's 1533-position model. The record is from RNAcentral.